Molecule: unclassified non-coding RNA, 320 nt
Filed under: plant metagenome
Description: partial contains 5.8S ribosomal RNA, internal transcribed spacer 2, and large subunit ribosomal RNA
Rfam family: 5.8S ribosomal RNA (bases 1-105)
Source: RNAcentral
GAAAUGCGAUAAGUAAUGUGAAUUGCAGAAUUCAGUGAAUCAUCGAAUCUUUGAACGCACAUUGCGCCCGCCAGUAUUCUGGCGGGCAUGCCUGUUCGAGCGUCAUUACAACCCUCAGGCCCCCGGGCCUGGCGUUGGGGAUCGGCGGAAGCCCCCUGCGGGCACAACGCCGUCCCCCAAAUACAGUGGCGGUCCCGCCGCAGCUUCCAUUGCGUAGUAGCUAACACCUCGCAACUGGAGAGCGGCGCGGCCACGCCGUAAAACACCCAACUUCUGAAUGUUGACCCCGAAUCAGGUAGGAAUACCCGCUGAACUUAAGC